GGGGUUGUGGCUCAGUGGUAGAGCAUUUGCCUAGCAAAUGUGAGGCGCUGGGUUCAAUCUUCAGCACCA
Molecule: non-coding RNA, 69 nt
Organism: Ictidomys tridecemlineatus (thirteen-lined ground squirrel)
Lineage: Eukaryota; Metazoa; Chordata; Mammalia; Rodentia; Sciuridae
Source: Rfam